RNAcentral lists this long non-coding RNA (5471 nucleotides) under Brassica napus (rape). RNAcentral's name for it is "long non-coding RNA (BNAP_LNC025287)". Lineage: Eukaryota; Viridiplantae; Streptophyta; Magnoliopsida; Brassicales; Brassicaceae. The record is from RNAcentral.
UUGGGACUCUAGACAUUACCUAAUAUCAAUAAGACAAUGCAGCAGCAAAAUAUUUCCAGUGCAAUUAGCCUAGACAUUCUACUAGAAGCUAUAAACUCUUAAUGUAAAUUAGGGAAAGCACAGAGUAUAAUCAAGAGAUAGACCUAUCAAGACAUAUUAAGAUAGAUGAGACUAGGUUUACUUCCUUGUUUAAGAUGGUGAGGAGUGGUCUCUUCAUUUCGCCACUUGAGUCCUCACUUGCUAAGCUUAACAGCUUCUCCUUUCAUCACACAAGCUCACUAACUUGAAGGUGAGCGCUUACUAAGCUUCAUGAACAACCUUGUGGGAACACCUCCAUCUUCUUCAGACUUGAUGCUUACUUCCCCACUUAACCACCAUUGCACUGAGGAGAUACCUCAGCUUACUCUCCAAGUACUUCUUAUUAGAAGCUCAUUGAGUCGCUUUCUUCUUCCCUCUACUUCGGCUGCAUCUACACAUGAUCAGCUUGCAAUGGCCUUGAGGAACCAGGUCAUUGAGCUUAGAGGAUCUUCUGGUAGCUCACUUGAAUCCACACCUCAAGCUUGACUUAGUAUAGGUGCAAGCUUGAAGUGAGCCUCAAUGAGACUUCAAACCGGGAGCGCAUCACUACCUACAGCUGCGCUUAACCCAACCGAUCUGCCAUUGCCUUCAGCUCCAAUGCCUUCAGGUCAUCAGUCUCCCCAAGACUUAGGUGGUGACCUUUACUUGUGUGUCUCCAUGAACCAGGAGCACAUCACUAUCACUAGCUGCGCUAUCUCAACCGGCCAUACACACAAGUCUUUCUCCAUUGCUUUAACAAUGGCAAAGUCUUCCUCUUCUACUUGGAUGGAUGGUGAGCAAAGAACACUUCUUGUGAACCUGAAACACCACUCAAACUCCAGCAAAGAUAAGACACAAUUGCAUUGGGAUCAAUCCUUGACUUCAUCAAGUUUGAUCACCAAUGUCUCAAGCUUUAUAGCAUUAGAUAGAAUCAAGACAAUGUCAAGUUCUUAUCUAUGCAAGCAACCAUUCUCUAAAUACAAAGCAAGACCUUAUCAGAUUCAAGUCAACGUAUUUAGGCAAUUUUAAUUACUUCUUAAUCUGCAACUUAGACUUUGAUUUCUAACUCAUGACAGCAAGCAUGAUAAUAUAAUCUAUCAUAUUAACAAGACAAUUUAAUUUAGAACUGGACAUUAAGCAUUUAACCAUUUUCAAUCUUAUUGAUGUCAAAUCUUGAUUAAUAACUUAUCAAGUUUGAUUCCCACUAUCACAAGCAAUGCAACAGAUAGACACAAGGCAUUAUCAGGUUCUAUUCUUUGCAAGCUAACUCUCUAAGUACAAGCAAGAUCCUAACAGAUUCAAGACAAGUUUCUUAGGCACUCUUAAGAGCUUCUUUACUCAGCACUUAGACAUGAAUCUAAUGCUUCAAUGUAAGACAGCCACAAGAUGAUAAAAUGCUUUAAUCUUUAUCAGUCUCUAACACAUGAAUGCACCCAGUUUUAACAGUAGCAUUUAGCACAUUAAUACACAUUCAUUUAGAGCUGGGAUUAAGAAAUAACAUUAUCAACCAACAUCAGACACAAUGCAUAACCUUUGGUGAUUUCAUUUCAUGAAUGCAAUCAGGUUUAGACAAAUUCUAACUCCCUAACAAGCAUCACUAGAAUCAAGGCAUUUUUAAACAUUUCAGACACCAAACAAGACUUUUUAAAUAUCCUCGGACAGAUUCUAAACUCAUUUUCAUUUAGCAAUCUUAAACAUAUCCUCAGGUUUUCAAUCACAACAUCACAACCAUAUCAUAAAGACACAAGCUUUAAACAAGGGAAAAAGGUUUAGCUUACAACCAAGGAACCAGUGCUUGUUCCUUGAGCCUCCAAGGCAAUCUGCAUCAUAAAUGGACAAACCAACAUCUCCUUCUUUACGUGGCCUUUCUCCUUGAACCCACCAUGCCAAAGACACCUCCUUUCUUCAUGUUUGAGUUGCCACACAAGUACCAAUGCUGAAAGCUUCCUCCUUGGAAGGUUUCUUCUUGGACAGUGAAUGGGAAAGGCUUGGACAUGCUUCCAAUUGCCUUCUUUCUUCAGGGCGGACAUGAGAGAGUAUGAUGGACUUAGGACAGCUUCUAUACAUGCCAUGGAUGAGCAAAACUUCAUCUUGAAGAGAUUACACAGCCGGCUGGAAAGAACUUCUUCAACAGCUUCAAUAGCUUGAAAAUGGCAUGGGAGUGAGCUUGUGCUUGAGCUGAAGCUGGAACCAAGUUCUGAUGAACCUGGCUCUGAUACCAUAUAAGAUUUAACAGAGUUCAGGUUGUGUGUGUGAUGAACACGCCCUUAAGGGCAAGAGAUCUUGUCUUGUGACAAUAAUGGAAGAGAAUAAAAGAGAGACUGAUGGAAGAAUAAGGAUGGUGUGAGAUUAAGAGACUUUGAGUGAGAGAUUAAGAGAUUAGAGAGACUGAGAGAUUAAGUAACCAGAGAAUAGAGAUUGAGAGAUUCAAAGUAACCAAAAACUAUGAAGGAGAAGGGAAAAUCCCCCUUACUCACUUAAGAGUUACAAAACAUCACUUAUGAGCUUAUAUAUGCUCUUUACAACUUGCAAUCAUAAACCUAAAUCUAAGGGCUGUUAUAACUUGAAUUUAAAUGGAUGGAUGAGAUGGAAAGAUGGUCUUGGUCGUGGCUGGCUCUUCCUGAUGGAUAAUUGGUCCAUUUGAAUCUGGUCAAGGGAAGGCUGGCUCCUUAUUGGCUAGCUAAAGGCUCCCAUGAAUCUGCCCACUUCUUUUGCUAGAUACAUGGUCUCCUUUUGCUUUUACUUUACAGCAAGGGACUCUCCUUUCCAGCCUGUCACUCGCCAGCCUCUCCUUUGUCUUCUUCUCUUAAGAGUUUUGUGUUCUCUUACUGUGGUAACUCUCCAAAGUUACUGUAGUAACUUUGGAGUUACUGUCUCAACCAAAUAUUCUCCAAAUGGUGUUUAAGUCCCUCCUGGACUUAAACCCAAUCUUGCACAGCCAUAAGAUCACUUCUUGACUUCUUAAGACCCUCCUGAAGCUUGACAGACAAUCUCUGUAAGACUUGCCCUCUCUUUGCACUAGAACCAAACUACUCCAUACUUUUCCUUUCACUCCAUUUCUAUUCUUCAAGUUAACAUUCUAGAGCUUGCCCUAUCAUUGUACAAGCUACAUCUUCUCUUCAGUUCAACAGCCAACACCUAUGAGAUUGAUUCAUCUUCCUGGUGAUUCUCCACAACUUUAUGUAUCCAAAUCAAGCUUUUCACAAAGUGAUUCAUCCUGGUUUGAUUGGAACGACGAAGAAGCUGUCCUAUUCCCAAACUGGUAAACUGGAAUCACCUGAUUUGAAAGUGGGAUAUCUUCUUCAUGCCAACUCCUAUAAGAUUUGGCCUAGGGAUUGGCCAGUGAGCUCUUGUGCCUUAGAACCAGUGUGGUUGGACACAAGAAGCUCUGGAUCACGGCCUAAUAGGUGCAGCAACUCAAAACAGCUUUGCGCACACUUCACACUUCAGCUUCACCUCUUCAUGGAACCGGUUUGAAGUCUCCCCCUCUCAACUGACUUCACAGCCAUUUUAGAGAAGCUAGGACACGACCAGAUCAUCUUCAAAACACCAGUAAGGCUGAUCAACACUUCACACACGGCUUGCCCUCUUCAUCGAACUGGUUUGGGUCUCCCCUUCUCAACAGACUUCUCAGCCACCUUAGAGAAGCUAGGAAACUGACCAGGAACAUCUUUAGUGAGGCUCAAGCAAUGGUACCUGAUACAUUAUCCCAAAGGUGCAUCAGUACCUAUCAAAACCAAGAAAAUGAAUAUCCUGCAUCACACUUGAUGCACACAAUCUCAUAAUUCAAUCAUAAUCAUCUCAAGUAUCUUUCCAAGCACAAGCAAUGAAUAAGAUGAAUGAAAAAAAGCAAUUCAAUCAUAAUCAUCUUAAGUAUCUUUUCAAGUACAAGCAAUGAAUAAGAUGAAUGAAAAGGAUUGAAAAGAGUUUUAAAAGUCUAAGGGAACUUCCCUUGUGUUUUUGUGAGUUUCCUAACUCUCUCAAUGCACCAUCUUCAUGUCAUCAUCAACUUCUUGGAAAGGCAGAAUGGAUUGAUCAGCUUCUCGUCAAUCACCUCUCAUUGAAGCCGCAUUGAUGGAGAGCCUUCUUCCUCACUUGCCAAGGCUGCUCUGAACAGCCUCUUGCCUAGACACGCCACUGACUUGGCCCGGUUGAUGAUCCUUGUAGAAGCUUUUGCAACAAAAGACUUGUUACUGACCAUGGAUCAUAUGCAUUAAGACUCCCCCUCAAGCUUGGAACCGAGACUAGAAGGAGCUAAGCUUGUGAUGAUUCUAUGCAUCUCCAUGGUCUAAUAACUAUCAUUUUUCAUGAUAGCUUUCUUCUUGUGAGUUUUCUCUCUUCCUUAACCAGGAAUUAGGGUGUUUGAAUCACCAUAGAGAGUCCUCACAAGGCAAGUUCUCACUGUAUAAUAACUCAUGCUACACUUCAUGUAGACUAUGGACUGAACAUGUCCUAUGAUAUUAUACAAUGGCAUUCUCUCAUUGCAUAAUCAAUCACACUACACUUCCUGUAGAUUAUGGAUUAACACAUCCAGUGAUGAUUUGCAAUGGAACUAGACCUUUUGUCUUCACACUUUGGUUUGGCUUGUCACUGUAUCACUUCUUUGUGUACCUAACAUCACCACAACUCAAUGCAAGAUCAGAUCAUCCCAUUGGGAUCAAACUAAGAUCAUCCAUCCUGUUUGAUCACCAAUGCCACAACAAUAUAUAAACCUUGAAACAAGCCAAUCAAUCAAGGCAAGAACAAGCAGUUUUAAAUCUCUAAAAAUGACAAUGCAAGCUUUAAACAAUACAUUGAAAAUUUAGGCUCAUUUUUAAAUGCAUCAAUACAUGAAUGCACAAUCUUAAAGCAUUAGCUAUAUGAAUGCAACAGGUUCAAUCCGAGAGCAAUAUUAAAGCUAUGCACAACAGUUCCAAUCAAUACCAAUGAUGCAAGCAACUUAGACAGUUUCUAAUUGAUGCAAGACAAUCAAUGAUGGAUUAAACAUAGGCAAUAGCAUCAGACAACAAUAGGAUUGAACUUAGACAGUAUGAGACAUGCUUAUGUAUGCAAAACAGCUUAUCAAUCAUGAUGCAAGCAGCAGAGACAUUCUACUCAAGUCUACAACACAUUCAUGAUAAUUUCAAGCUAUGGCAAUACACAAGACAAUGCAAUGAACAGAACAUGAGAUUUUGGGACUCUAGACAUUACCUAAUAUCAAUAAGACAAUGCAGCAGCAAAAUAUUUCCAGUGCAAUUAGCCUAGACAUUCUACUAGAAGCUAUAAACUCUUAAUGUAAAUUAGGGAAAGCACAGAGUAUAAUCAAGAGAUAGACCUAUCAAGACAUAUUAAAAUAGAUGAGACUAGGUUUACUCCCUUGUUUAAGAUGGUGAGGAGUGGUCUCUUCAUUUCGCCACUUGAGUCCUCACUUGCUA